Molecule: ribosomal RNA, 253 nt
Filed under: uncultured bacterium
Lineage: Bacteria
Description: partial 16S ribosomal RNA
Rfam family: Bacterial small subunit ribosomal RNA
Source: RNAcentral
UACGGAGGGGGCUAGCGUUGUUCGGAAUUACUGGGCGUAAAGCGCACGUAGGCGGACUGUUAAGUCGGGGGUGAAAUCCCGGGGCUCAACCCCGGAAUGGCCUUCGAUACUGGCGGUCUUGAGGUCUGGAGAGGUGAGUGGAAUUCCGAGUGUAGAGGUGAAAUUCGUAGAUAUUCGGAGGAACACCAGUGGCGAAGGAGGCUCACGGGCCAGAUAUUGACGAUGAGGUGCGAAAGCGUGGGGAGCAAACAGG